AGGAUGAACGCUGGCGGCGUGCCUAACACAUGCAAGUCGAACGCGCUCCAUUCGGUAGCAAUACUGAUGAAGAGCGAGUGGCGAACGGGUGAGUAACACAUGAGCAACCUGCCCCGAAGACUGGGACAACACCGGGAAACCGGUGCUAAUACCGGAUAUCCCUAUCGGACCACAUGAUCUGAUAAGGAAAGUUUUUCGCUUCGGGAGGGGCUCGUGGCCUAUCAGCUAGUUGGUGAGGUAACGGCCCACCAAGGCAUCGACGGGUAGCUGGUCUGAGAGGACGAUCAGCCACACUGGGACUGAGACACGGCCCAGACUCCUACGGGAGGCAGCAGUGGGAAUCUUGCGCAAUGGGCGAAAGCCUGACGCAGCAACGCCGCGUGGAGGACGAAGGCUUUCUGAGUUGUAAACUCCUUUCAGCAGGGACGAUAGUGACGGUACCUGCAGAAGAGCACCGGCCAACUACGUCGCCAGCAGCCGCGGUAA
This 486-nucleotide ribosomal RNA is filed under the name uncultured bacterium. RNAcentral describes it as "SSU rRNA". It matches the Rfam family "Bacterial small subunit ribosomal RNA", at positions 26 to 523 of the family's 1533-position model. The record is from RNAcentral.